This 746-nucleotide small RNA is filed under the name Pan troglodytes (chimpanzee). RNAcentral describes it as "processed transcript". Lineage: Eukaryota; Metazoa; Chordata; Mammalia; Primates; Hominidae. The record is from RNAcentral.
CGAAAACGCGGCCGAGCCCGGAGCCCGGAGCUGGAGCCAGAGCCUGGACCAGAACUUGGCCGCCGCCUGCACCGCCGCCGCCGCUGCCGCCCGCCGCCCCUUCCCCGCGCCGCAGCCGCCUCGCCGCCACCGCCGCGAGCUCGGCCGCCAAUGGUCCUCGGACUUUAGGUGUCCGGGUUGAAGGUGCUAUACUUGGUAGAUCAGAAACUCAGGAGUGUCUUUUCUUUAAUGCUAAUUGGGAAAAAGACAGAACCAAUCAAACUGGUGUUGAACCAUGUUAUGGUGACAAAGAUAAACGGCGGCAUUGUUUUGCUACCUGGAAGAAUAUUUCUGGUUCCAUUGAAAUAGUGAAACAAGGUUGUUGGCUGGAUGAUAUCAACUGCUAUGACAGGAUAGUAAGAGAAGUAAGAGGAAAAGAAGAUUCAAGAAUUGUCAAAGUGUGGAAGAAAAGAAAAUGAUAAAAGAAGAAUGAAAUUGAAUGGACUGAUUGUGUAGAAAAAAAAGACAGCCCUGAAGUAUAUUUUUGUUGCUGUGAGGGCAAUAUGUGUAAUGAAAAGUUUUCUUAUUUUCCGGAGAUGGAAGUCACACAGCCCACUUCAAAUCCAGUUACACCUAAGCCACCCUAUUACAACAUCCUGCUCUAUUCCUUGGUGCCACUUAUGUUAAUUGCGGGGAUUGUCAUUUGUGCAUUUUGGGUGUACAGGCAUCACAAGAUGGCCUACCCUCCUGUACUUGUUCCAACUCAA